Molecule: ribosomal RNA, 459 nt
Filed under: uncultured bacterium
Lineage: Bacteria
Description: partial 16S ribosomal RNA
Rfam family: Bacterial small subunit ribosomal RNA
Source: RNAcentral
CCUACGGGGGGCAGCAGUGAGGAAUAUUGGUCAAUGGGCGGGAGCCUGAACCAGCCAAGCCGCGUGAGGGAAGAAGGUACAGCGUAUCGUAAACCUCUUUUGUCAGGGAACAAAGGCGGGGACUAGUCCCCGGAUGAGGGUACCUGAAGAAAAAGCAUCGGCUAACUCCGUGCCAGCAGCCGCGGUAAUACGGAGGAUGCGAGCGUUAUCCGGAUUUAUUGGGUUUAAAGGGUGCGCAGGGGGCUUGUUAAGUCAGCGGGAAAAGCCCGGGGCUCAACCCAGGCGAGCCGUUGAAACUGGCGGGCUGGAGUUGGAGAGAGGUACGCGGAAUGCGCGGUGUAGCGGUGAAAUGCUUAGAUAUCGCGCAGAACCCCGAUUGCGAAGGCAGCGUACCGGCUCCACACUGACGCUGAGGCACGAAAGCGUGGGUAUCGAACAGGAUUAGAUACCCGUGUAGUC